UAAAAUUAAAAAAAAAUUCAAGCAUGCCAAUUUCGACUCUUUGGUAGUUGCAGAAACAAAUAGAACUCAUGGGAUCUUGCGAAGAUAGUGGAGGAUGAAGAAGAUGGGAAAAUUAAAGAAACAAAGAAAGCCACAUGAUUCCAUAGAAAGCACAUGAUUCCACAGAAAGCCACAUGAUUCCUUGAGCCCAAAUCUCAGAAUAAAUCUAAUUUUAACACAUAAGGUAGAAAUUGAAACUUGCAGAGAAGUGCGGCCACCGUCGCGAUGUUGUGAUGCUGAUGAUUGAUGGAUGAUGAUGAACCGACUACUGAGAGAGAGAAAUCUCCGAACCAGAUCCAGGACCUCUUCUUCACCAGGAUAUGAGCUAAACUUCAGCGACAGGACUUGGGCUAAUCAAAAAACUCAUUUGAUUUCGAGAAGGUCAAAGACAUGAGAAGAAUAAGCAAUCAAAGAGGUACGGUCAAAUCAAUGCUUUCAAUCAGCUUUAACCAAUUCUUUGAUUGCUCAGUCGAAAGAAUCGGGGCCACGUUGAUUUUGAAUUUAUUUGCUGAAUUCUGGGGAAUGAACAUGAGGAAGCGGCGGCCGUAGGAAAUGUAGGGUUUGUUUUGUUUCUCAUUUUUUUUGCUUUUAUACUUAUAAAUAAUAAUUUAAAAAAUUAAUUAAAUAAUAUUUAAAACAAAAAAUCCGGGUCCGGGUUUCGGAAAUCCGAGUUCAGGUGAAC
This 721-nucleotide long non-coding RNA is filed under the name Citrus x clementina. RNAcentral describes it as "Citrus clementina (C. clementina) long non-coding RNA (CCLE_LNC003954)". The record is from RNAcentral. Lineage: Eukaryota; Viridiplantae; Streptophyta; Magnoliopsida; Sapindales; Rutaceae.